UUUUUUUGGGGAUAUUUUUAAAGUCUAACCUGCCCACUGAAUAAAUUUUAAAUGGCCGCAGUAUUUUAACUGUGCAAAGGUAGCAUAAUCAUUAGUCUUUUAAUUGAAGGCUGGUAUGAAUGGUUGGACGAAGUAUAAGCUGUUUCAUAUAAAAUUAUAUUAGAAUUUUAUUUUUUAGUUAAAAAGCUAAAAUUUUAUUAAAAGACGAGAAGACCCUAUAAAUCUUUAUAUUUAUGUGUAUAUAAAUUUUAUAAAUUUUUUUUGUUUUUAUAUGUAUAAAUAUUUUAUUGGGGUGAUAUUAAAAUUUAAUAAACUUUUAAUUAAUAUUAAAUCAUUAAUUUAUGAAUUGUUGAUCCAUUAUUAGUGAUUAUAAAAUUAAGUUACUUUAGGGAUAACAGCGUAAUUUUUUUUGAGAGUUCAUAUCGAUAAAAAAGUUUGCGACCUCGAUGUUGGAUUAAGAUAUAUUUUUAGGUGUAGCUGCUUAAAUAUUAAGUCUGUUCGACUUUUAAAUUCUU
RNAcentral lists this ribosomal RNA (515 nucleotides) under Ceratitis marriotti. RNAcentral describes it as "partial 16S ribosomal RNA". The stretch from base 391 to 515 matches the Rfam family "Bacterial large subunit ribosomal RNA", at positions 2473 to 2597 of the family's 2925-position model. Lineage: Eukaryota; Metazoa; Arthropoda; Insecta; Diptera; Tephritidae. The record is from RNAcentral.